UCCCCUUACUUGUUUUCUUUGAAUCGGAGCAGCAGGACCUCCAUGGAUGAGGACGACCACCGGUACCUACACAAUGAUGUCGACGCCCCGCACAUGGCCGAGCUGGACGGAACAACGAUGCCUUGGUCGCUCGCCGUGGUCACGGGUGGCCUCCUCCGUUGCUCCCCAUUCGAUCUGGCGCUUGCAUGGUAUUUCAAAGAACUCUUCUAAUGGGGCAUUGUAUGAUGUGCUAUGGAAGUAAAGGAUUAAGUUUGAG
This 256-nucleotide ribosomal RNA is filed under the name Triticum aestivum (bread wheat). RNAcentral describes it as "partial small subunit ribosomal RNA". Lineage: Eukaryota; Viridiplantae; Streptophyta; Magnoliopsida; Poales; Poaceae. The record is from RNAcentral.